This is a long non-coding RNA of Girardinichthys multiradiatus, 724 nucleotides long. RefSeq lists it as uncharacterized. The transcript is spliced from 3 exons. NCBI's taxonomy places the organism in Eukaryota, Metazoa, Chordata, Actinopteri, Cyprinodontiformes, Goodeidae. The record is from RefSeq and is a predicted model, not a curated record.
CCAGCGUCCCGCUCUCAUUUGCUCGCCCCUCUUGUCCCCCCGUUAUUUUCUUUCCCCUUUCUCUGAAAUAAGCAGGAAAAGAGAGAUGGAAAUUAAAAGUGGGGAAGGAGAGCUGGGAGAAAAGAAAGGGAGCAGAGGAGAUGAGACGCCUUCAUGCUCCGGCUCUUCUUUCAUUGGACUGAUAAAGGGAAACAUCAAGGCCAGGGGUGGAUGCGUUUUUUUUCCCUGUUAACUGAAUGAGGCUUUUGAGGAGCCGCUCCCCUGAGAGAUGUUUGGAGGAACGGGGAGUGGGAAUACAAGAAGCUGCUGGACAACCAGUCUUCAGAUGAUGAUCACCCUGUGUUAGAGGUAUCCUGUUCUGGAUCCCACUCCUUGGAUCUCCAGAGCUACUUUCUUGUUGUAACUGAACAAACCUGGGAAUCUUACUUACUACACAGACAUUCCUCACAGCUCAAACCCCACUCACCUGCCCACUCUCCAAAGAUGAGAGCUGCUCCUCCUGGAAAACAUCUGUCUUCCCCUUUUGCGUCAACCCACCGAUUGCCACCAAGCAAUUGGUGGGUUGACCAAGCAGUAUCUAUGAUUCAAACCAUUAAGCCCACACUACAGAUCUGUGGAAACGUUAUUCACCAACUUGCUCCAUCUAACUUCUGCCCUGUCUCCCACAGACCUUGCCAGAGACAAGAAUCCAAAUUGAUUCCUGUACAUGACUGCAGAAUAAACC